GUGCUUAACACAUGCAAGUCGAGUGCGCGCCUGUAGCAAUACAGGUGGCGCACGGCGCACGGGUGCGUAACACGUGGGCAAUCUGCCCUCGGAUGGGGGAUAACCCGCCGAAAGGCGGGCUAAUACCGCAUGACAUUCCUGGGACUCCGGUCCCGGGACUCAAAGGCCGCAAGGCCGUCUGAGGAGGAGCCCGCGCCCGAUUAGCUAGUUGGUGAGGUAACGGCUCACCAAGGCUUUGAUCGGUAGCCGGUCUGAGAGGAUGGCCGGCCACACUGGAACUGAGACACGGUCCAG
Molecule: ribosomal RNA, 294 nt
Filed under: uncultured bacterium
Lineage: Bacteria
Description: partial 16S ribosomal RNA
Rfam family: Bacterial small subunit ribosomal RNA
Source: RNAcentral